UGGGGAAUCAUGGUCAAUGGGCGAAAGCCUGAACCUGCGACGCCGCGUGAGUGAUGAAGGCCUUAGGGUUGUAAAGCUCUUUCAGCUGUGAAGAUAAUGACGGUAGCAGCAGAAGAAGUCUCGGCUAACUCCGUGACAGCAGCCGCGGUAAAACGGAGGGGACGAGCGUUGUUCGGAAUUACUGGGCGUAAAGCGCACGUAGGCGGAUCGGAAAGUUGGGGGUGAAAUCCCCGGGCUCAACCCGGGAACUGCCUUCAAAACUAUCGGUCUGGAGUUCGAGAGAGGGGGGUGGAAUUCCGAGUGUAGAGGUGAAAUUCGUAGAUAUUCGGAGGAACACCAGUGGCGAAGGCGGCUCACUGGCUCGAUACUGACGCUGAGGUGCGAAAGCGUGGGGAGCAAACA
Molecule: ribosomal RNA, 402 nt
Filed under: uncultured prokaryote
Description: bacterial SSU rRNA
Rfam family: Bacterial small subunit ribosomal RNA
Source: RNAcentral